Molecule: ribosomal RNA, 573 nt
Filed under: mine drainage metagenome
Description: bacterial LSU rRNA
Rfam family: Bacterial large subunit ribosomal RNA
Source: RNAcentral
UAGCUUUAGGGCUAGCCUCAGGUAGGAGACAUGCGGGGGUAGAGCACUGGUUGGGCUAGGGGCCUUACCGGGUUACCGAACCCGUUCAAACUCCGAAUACCGCAUGUUGGUGCCUGGGAGUCAGACGGCGGGGGAUAAGCUUCGUCGUCAAGAGGGAAAGAGCCCAGACCGCCGGCUAAGGUCCCCAAGUUCAGGCUAAGUGGGAAAGGUUGUGGGGUUGCUAAGACAGCCAGGAUGUUGGCUUAGAAGCAGCCACCAUUCGAAGAGUGCGUAAUAGCUCACUGGUCGAGUGACCCUGCGCCGAAAAUGUAACGGGGCUAAGCCUGACACCGAAGCCGCGGAUGUCCUCGAAAGAGGGCGUGGUAGGGGAGCGUUCCUCGUGCAGGGAAGGUGGACCGGAAGGUCUGCUGGAGCGCGGGGAAGUGAGAAUGCCGGUAUGAGUAGCGAAAAGACAGGUGAGAAUCCUGUCCGCCGAAAGCCUAAGGAUUCCUGAGCAAGGAUCGUCCGCUCAGGGUAAGUCGGGACCUAAGUCGAGGCGUACAGCGUAGACGAUGGACAAUCGGUUGAAAUUCC